RNAcentral lists this ribosomal RNA (696 nucleotides) under uncultured bacterium. RNAcentral's name for it is "bacterial SSU rRNA". It matches the Rfam family "Bacterial small subunit ribosomal RNA", at positions 54 to 749 of the family's 1533-position model. The record is from RNAcentral.
CAUGCAAGUCGAACGGCAGCACGGGAGCAAUCCUGGUGGCGAGUGGCGAACGGGUGAGUAAUACAUCGGAACGUGCCCAAUCGUGGGGGAUAACGCAGCGAAAGCUGUGCUAAUACCGCGUAAGAUCUAAGGAUGAAAGCAGGGGACCGCAAGGCCUUGCGCGAAUGGAGCGGCCGAUGGCAGAUUAGGUAGUUGGUGAGGUAAAGGCUCACCAAGCCUUCGAUCUGUAGCUGGUCUGAGAGGACGACCAGCCACACUGGGACUGAGACACGGCCCAGACUCCUACGGGAGGCAGCAGUGGGGAAUUUUGGACAAUGGGCGCAAGCCUGAUCCAGCCAUGCCGCGUGCAGGAUGAAGGCCUUCGGGUUGUAAACUGCUUUUGUACGGAACGAAAAGGUUCUUUCUAAUAAAGAGAGCUCAUGACGGUACCGUAAGAAUAAGCACCGGCUAACUACGUGCCAGCAGCCGCGGUAAUACGUAGGGUGCAAGCGUUAAUCGGAAUUACUGGGCGUAAAGCGUGCGCAGGCGGUGAUGUAAGACAGUUGUGAAAUCCCCGGGCUCAACCUGGGAACUGCAUCUGUGACUGCAUCGCUGGAGUACGGUAGAGGGGGAUGGAAUUCCGCGUGUNCAUGAAUGCNUNAUAUGCGGAGGAACACCGAUGGCGAAGGUAAUCCUCUUGAUCUGUACUGACNCUCU